Molecule: ribosomal RNA, 411 nt
Filed under: uncultured bacterium
Lineage: Bacteria
Description: bacterial SSU rRNA
Rfam family: Bacterial small subunit ribosomal RNA
Source: RNAcentral
GGCCAGCAGCCGCGGUAAUACGGAGGGUGCAAGCGUUAUCCGGAUUCACUGGGUUUAAAGGGUGCGUAGGAGGGCAGGUAAGUCAGUGGUGAAAUCCUGGGGCUUAACCCCAGAACUGCCGUUGAUACUAUCUGUCUUGAAUACCGUGGAGGUGAGCGGAAUAUGUCAUGUAGCGGUGAAAUGCUUAGAUAUGACAUAGAACACCAAUUGCGAAGGCAGCUCACUACACGAGCAUUGACUCUGAGGCACGAAAGCGUGGGGAUCAAACAGGAUUAGAUACCCUGGUAGUCCACGCCCUAAACUAUGGAUACUCGACAUACGCGAUACACUGUGUGUGUCUGAGCGAAAGCAUUAAGUAUCCCACCUGGGAAGUACGACCGCAAGGUUGAAACUUAAAGGAAUUGGCGGGGG